GAUGAACGCUAGCGGCAGGCCUAACACAUGCANGUCGAGGGGGAACAGGGAUUGCUUGCAAUCCGCUGACGACCGGCGCACGGGUGCGUAACGCGUAUGCAACCUACCUUUUACAGGGGUAUAGUCAAGAGAAAUUUUGAAUAACACCCCAUACGAUCAUUUUUACACCUGUAAAGAUGAAGAAAACUCCGGUGGUAAAAGAUGGGCAUGCGUCCUAUUAGUUAGUUGGUGAGGUAACGGCUCACCAAGACCGCGAUAGGUAGGGGUCCUGAGAGGGAGAUCCCCCACACUGGUACUGAGACACGGACCAGACUCCUACGGGAGGCAGCAGUGAGGAAUAUUGGACAAUGGAGGCAACUCUGAUCCAGCCAUGCCGCGUGCAGGAAGACUGCCCUAUGGGUUGUAAACUGCUUUUAUACAGGAAGAAACCUUGGUACGUGUACCAAGCUGACGGUACUGUAAGAAUAAGGAUCGGCUAACUCCGUGCCAGCAGCCGCGGUAAUACGGAGGAUCCAAGCGUUAUCCGGAAUCAUUGGGUUUAAAGGGUCCGCAGGCGGUCUUUUAAGUCAGAGGUGAAAUCCUAUCGCUCAACGAUAGAACUGCCUUUGAUACUGAAAGACUUGAGUUAUUGUGAAGUGGUUAGAAUAUGUAGUGUAGCGGUGAAAUGCAUAGAUAUUACAUAGAAUACCGAUUGCGAAGGCAGAUCACUAACAAUACACUGACGCUGAG
RNAcentral lists this ribosomal RNA (729 nucleotides) under bacterium IMCC8463. RNAcentral's name for it is "bacterial SSU rRNA". It matches the Rfam family "Bacterial small subunit ribosomal RNA", at positions 28 to 750 of the family's 1533-position model. The record is from RNAcentral.